CUCUCAACCCUAAAACUUUUUCCCCCAGUCCCCCGCAGCCACCUCCCCCAGCCCCUCAUCCCUACACUCCAUCGAUGCAGCCUCCUCCCAACCCUGCAACACAAACCUAGACUCCCCAAGCCCACAGUGUCUCCCUCCAUCCUCCCUCAUCAGCCGCCGCCGCUAUUCUGCCUCCCUCCUCUCUGUCCUAUGACGCUGGGAGGAAGCGGCCCUUCAUGGCUCCAUACCGCUGUCGGGGUGCCACAGAAGAGGUCAGGGGCCGCCGACGCCCGUUGGCGAGCCUUCGGGCAGGAAGCCGACGGCGAGGUCAGGGGCCGUCGACGCCCGUUGGCGAGCCUCCGGGCAGGAAGCCGACGGUGAGCACGCCGGACCUACCGGCCAGUCCCGUGUCGUCGAGCAAGGGCCGCCAGUUGCGUCGUCGUGGGAGGAGGCUCACCAAGAAGCGGCGGGGGAGGAGACGAUGACACGCCCCAGACUCCCUAUUUUCUUCGGGUCGCAUCUUCCGAGAGCCGUCUCUCUCUCUCUCGGGCAGCUUCCAUAUGGGAUUUGGAUGAGGAAAAGGAGACACGAUGCGGGGCGACGAUGACCGCUGGUGAGUUGGCUGGACGGGUGCCGGGCCCAUGGGCGCGGUUGGGGAGCUGCGCACACAUCCAUGGACAACGAGUACAUCAAACGCCAACACAUCGAAGUGAGCUUCAUCCAAUCUCUCUCUAUCGCUGUCUGUCUGUGGUGUGUGUGUGUGUGGUCACGGUGCAGUAUCGAGCGACAUGAGCGCAUCUGAUGCAGGGAAUAGGAAAGAGGCCGUGGACCUUUUUUUCCUAUUGGUGCCAUGAGAUUUGUGAUAGAUGCGUGGAUGGCCAGCAGAUUCAGGGUUGGAUUUCCCCUUUUUGAGAUGGGAAUACAGAAAUAUUUAGAGGGCAAUGGAAGCUUGCUAUAUUUUUUGAAAGCUAAAGGUUUGGCUAGCUCAUUGAAUGCUGGUGUUGGCACUGGAGGAGCACAACGAUCCUCGUAUGCCUCUAUCUUUUAGAUGUCUGUCUGCCUUUUCUGAUUUUGGACUUAAAAUUUUAUGCAGGUUCAUACGAUGCUUACCUUUCUUGUUCUAUCUGCAUAUAUUUGUUGGUUCAAACUCCUUUUCUCCUCGCAUCAAAGCACUUUAGUCUUUACAUCAUUUUUGCAGAACUGUUGUAAUUAACAACUACCGGCAAAUGCCUUCUACUAAGGAAUAUGUGCUUGUUUUGUAGUUGGCAUCAUUUUCUACCAUGAAGUUGGCUGCCAAACAUUGUUGAGACUAAUAUUCAUCGGGAAUAUUUUAAGUAGCAGCAAUUCGUCCAAUCUUUGGAUAAUUCUUGCAUUCACAUGUCUUACUAUUUACUUGCUAGACAAGCCCAAUAAUACAUUUUCUGACAUGCAAUGCUUUUGCAGCUCUUCGAGGUCUUUACGGCCAUGUACCAAUAUAUAAAUAAAUCUAUUUAAGUUUUCUCAGCUGCAAGAAUGGACAUUUAAGGAACUCCAGAACAUUGGGUACAUGGUAUUCAGAUUUGCAGAAGAGCAACCUCCAGAUGAUUAUGUAGUAGAUCUUGCAGGUCAUCAUCUUUUCGAUCUUGUUUCGCUUAACUUGUAUAUGAUGGAUGCGGGUCUUAAUUAAAUUCUACUUUGCAGAAAUAUGUUAUUCUGAAAAGCACAUAAUUUCUGGAGACUAUAUUUAUGAGAGAUGGGAGCGAGAGUUAGUCAAUCAUCUUCUCAUUGUUGGCUACAAAUUAUUCACUGAGACACUGGAAACACAUAUAUUAUGUUGAUUAAGUCAAGGUUAAUCCCUAUUUAAGGUAGAUGAGAAUGACAAAUUGGGAAACUACCGCACCUAUGAAUGUGUGAAUUUUCGACUGAAACUUGACAAUGACAAUUGUCAACUGAAACUUGACAAUUGUCACUAACUUCAUAGCUGCCGAUGACAAGUCAUGCAAAUAAUUUGUCAUAGUUCAUUUUUGGUUUUCAUUGUCAAAGUUUCUUCAGCUAUUCUCCUCUUGUGAUUAUAUGGAUGAUGGCGUGGCAUCUUCCUGUCAGUAUGCAUCUGAAUCGUAGUAUGAGUUGGAAACCCAACAUACCAGGAUAACUUUGUGUAUGAAUAUGAGCAUGAUUUGUACCUUAUUGUUAUUUUCUACAGAUGAAUAUGAGCAUGAUGUCAAGUGGAUCUUUGUACUUCUGAAUAUUCGUAACUACACGUUAUUAUGUGCUUAAUGACACAAAUGUUAAUGCACACUUUCUAUUCACAACCCAUAAAUUGGAACAUGAUGUAUUCAUUGGCUUCCUUUUUGUAUAAUGUCUGUCCAAACUAUUCCUGUACGUCAGUUUUGGUAUCCUUAGACAUGGUCUGAAACUCUAAAUGGAUUCUUGUGCUUGAGUUAGCUCAGAGUUGGAAACCCAACAUACCAGGAUAACUUUGUGUAUGAAUACGAGCAUGAUUUGUACCUUAUUGUUAUUUUCUACAGAUGAAUAUGAGCAUGAUGUCAAGUGGAUCUUUGUACUUCUGAAUAUUCGUAACUACACGUUAUUAUGUGCUUAAUGACACAAAUAUUAAUGCGUACUUUCUAUUCACAACCCAUAAAUUGGAACAUGAUGUAUUCAUUGGCUUCCUUUUUGUAUAAUGUCUAUCCAAACUAUUCCUUUACGUCAGUUUUGGUAUCCUUAGACAUGGUCUGAAACUCUAAAUGGAUUCUUGUGCUUGAGUUAGCUCAGGGCUUUCAUAUAUGCACUUGUAUUUCGGUUUCAGUGUGAUGCAUGCUUAUUGCCGAUGGACCUCCCAUUGUUUAUGUCCUACCAGUAUAGCCACGCUCCCUAUCAUCUUAUCUGUUGAAAGUGCCUCCCCAUGGUGUUGUUUGUCAAAAGCUUUCUUCCUCUUUCUCUGGAAAUUACAGGAGUUGUUGUGCAGAAGUACGUGGUAAUUCCUUUGAGAUGUUUAGUUUUGUAACAUAGUUCUGACCUGAACUCUGCUGAGCAACAAAAUAUAUUCAUCAUUACUAUUACGAUACACUAACAAUUUUUUAGGGUCUGAGGAUGCUUUGGCCUAAUGAAGGGUAUGAAGAGAACUGCCUCUGCCUUAGUUCAUGAGAGCAAGGUAGGCAACAAGGAGGAGGGUCCGGCGGAAGUCAAGAAACAAGAGAACACUGACCUGGAGAAACUCUAUGUAGCAGGCCUUUGUCGGAGAGAUGGCCGAACUACAACUGUCAAGUUCCUCCGGUGUACACGCUUCAUUGGCUUCUUUAUCCUUACAUGUGGAAAUUUGGCUUUUCAGUUUUGCAUCGACUGUGGAAACAUCCUGACACUAUCCAGUUGUGGUGCUAGCUUUGGGGUGAAUGUGCUUCCUUUCAUGUGUGUUAGGCAGCAGCAGGAGGCUGGAUGGGAUCUUCUGCUAUGAUGAGCGUUUGCUUCUGUCAGUACGAAAUACUUCUAAAACAACAGCUUCAUUUUUUGGUCUGGUGUACUCUCUCUGUAAAGACGUUUUUGGGGUUCAAAUUGCAAACCAAAAAUGUCUUAUAUAAAUGUAGAGAAGCUCCAAUAUUGUUGGCAAUAGACGCUAGAGAAAGUAGGGAUUGGGUUGUAAGCGAGGCGUUUUGGAGCUUAGCCACCAUGGAGGCCGAAGUUUU
Triticum dicoccoides is the source of this 3641-nucleotide long non-coding RNA. RefSeq lists it as uncharacterized. The record is from RefSeq and is a predicted model, not a curated record. The transcript is spliced from 3 exons. Lineage: Eukaryota; Viridiplantae; Streptophyta; Magnoliopsida; Poales; Poaceae.